This is a long non-coding RNA of Asterias rubens (European starfish), 422 nucleotides long. RefSeq lists it as uncharacterized. The transcript has 3 exons. The record is from RefSeq and is a predicted model, not a curated record. Lineage: Eukaryota; Metazoa; Echinodermata; Asteroidea; Forcipulatida; Asteriidae.
GUUCGACUGGCGGGACACUCAGCAAGGGAACUUUGGUGCGAUUCGCUCUCCAAAAAAGUUACACACUACAGUCAGUGAAUGAAGGAAGGCACUCAUGUGUUCAACUCGAGUCGUUUGAAUUAAUAUUAUUAGAGACUGGGUAGAAACAGAGAGAUUGUGAGAUCCAGCAGAGUUAAUCGAGUGAAAUUUCAUCCUUGUAUCCGAGCGUGAACCGUCCGGUCCAAUAUGGACAAUUGAGACCUUCACUCAAGAUCAUCGGAAGCUGAAGAGUGGCCAUAUGUGUACAGCAUAGUAUGCAUGAAAUGCAAUGGCAUCUGCUAACUGGUUGGUAGCAUCCCUGCAGGACGUGGCCAAACUCAAUAAGUGACGCUGAUCAACUGUCGGCACCCUCUCUGUUCCAGAGAACUACCCUGGCCGGGCCG